RNAcentral lists this ribosomal RNA (523 nucleotides) under uncultured bacterium. Its description in RNAcentral is "bacterial SSU rRNA". It matches the Rfam family "Bacterial small subunit ribosomal RNA", at positions 777 to 1299 of the family's 1533-position model. The record is from RNAcentral.
AAUAGAUACCCUGGUAGUCCACGCCGUAAACGUUGGGCGCUAGGUGUGGGGACCAUUCCACGGUUUCUGUGCCGCAGCUAACGCAUUAAGCGCCCCGCCUGGGGAGUACGGCCGCAAGGCUAAAACUCAAAGGAAUUGACGGGGGCCCGCACAAGCGGCGGAGCAUGUGGAUUAAUUCGAUGCAACGCGAAGAACCUUACCUGGGUUUGACAUGCACCAGACGCUGCCGGAGACGGUAGUUCCCUUGUGGUUGGUGUGCAGGUGGUGCAUGGCUGUCGUCAGCUCGUGUCGUGGGAUGUUGGGUUAAGUCCCGCAACAAGCGCAACCCUCGUUCCAUGUUGCCAGCGCGUGAUGGCGGGGACUCAUGGGAGACUGCCGGGGUCAACUCGGAGGAAGGUGGGGAUGACGUCAAGUCAUCAUGCCCCUUAUGUCCAGGGCUUCACACAUGCUACAAUGGCUCAUACAGAGGGCUGCGAGACCGUGAGGUGGAGCGAAUCCCUUAAAGUGGGUCUCAGUUCGGAUC